This 561-nucleotide ribosomal RNA is filed under the name uncultured bacterium. RNAcentral describes it as "bacterial SSU rRNA". It matches the Rfam family "Bacterial small subunit ribosomal RNA", at positions 338 to 916 of the family's 1533-position model. The record is from RNAcentral.
CCUACGGGAGGCAGCAGUGGGGAAUCUUGCGCAAUGGGCGAAAGCCUGACGCAGCCAUGCCGCGUGAAUGAUGAAGGUCUUAGGAUUGUAAAAUUCUUUCACCGGGGACGAUAAUGACGGUACCCGGAGAAGAAGCCCCGGCUAACUUCGUGCCAGCAGCCGCGGUAAUACGAAGGGGGGCUAGCGUUGCUCGGAAUUACUGGGCGUAAAGGGAGCGUAGGCGGAUAGUUUAGUCAGAGGUGAAAGCCCAGGGCUCAACCUUGGAAUUGCCUUUGAUACUGGCUAUCUUGAGUGUGGGAGAGGUUAGCGGAACUCCGAGUGUAGAGGUGAAAUUCGUAGAUAUUCGGAAGAACACCAGUGGCGAAGGCGGCUAACUGGCCCAUUACUGACGCUGAGGCUCGAAAGCGUGGGGAGCAAACAGGAUUAGAUACCCUGGUAGUCCACGCCGUAAACGAUGAGUGCUAGUUGUCGGCAUGCAUGCAUGUCGGUGACGCAGCUAACGCAUUAAGCACUCCGCCUGGGGAGUACGGUCGCAAGAUUAAAACUUAAGGAAAUUGACGG